RNAcentral lists this ribosomal RNA (623 nucleotides) under uncultured archaeon. RNAcentral's name for it is "bacterial SSU rRNA". It matches the Rfam family "Archaeal small subunit ribosomal RNA", at positions 146 to 774 of the family's 1478-position model. The record is from RNAcentral.
AUAAUACUCCAUAGAUUAGAGACACUGGAAUGUUCUUUAGUCGAAAGUUCUGGCGCCUUAGGAUGGAUCUGCGGUCGAUUAGGUUGUUGUUGGGGUAACGGCCCAACAAGCCUGUAAUCGAUACGGGUUGUGGGAGCAAGAGCCCGGAGAUGGAAUCUGAGACACGAUUCCAGGCCCUACGGGGCGCAGCAGGCGCGAAAACUUUACAAUGCAGGAAACUGUGAUAAGGGAACUCCGAGUGCCCGUAUACGCGGGCUGUCCAGGUGUUUAAAAAUCAUCUGAAGAAAGGGCCGGGCAAGACCGGUGCCAGCCGCCGCGGUAAUACCGGCGGCUCGAGUGGUGGCCACUAUUAUUGGGCUUAAAGCGUCCGUAGCUGGACCGAUAAGUCUCUUGGGAAAUCCGCCGGCUCAACCGGCGGGCGUCUAAGGGAUACUGUUAGUCUAGGGACCGGGAGAGGUGAGAGGUACUCCGGGGGUAGGAGUGAAAUCCUGUAAUCCCCGGGGGACCACCGAUGGCGAAGGCAUCUCACCAGAACGGCUCCGACAGUGAGGGACGAAAGCUGGGGGAGCGAACCGGAUUAAAUAACCGGGUAGUCCCAGCCGUAAACUAUGCGCGUUAGGUGU